RNAcentral lists this unclassified non-coding RNA (517 nucleotides) under Brenneria goodwinii. RNAcentral describes it as "partial may contain 16S ribosomal RNA, 16S-23S ribosomal RNA intergenic spacer, and 23S ribosomal RNA". The stretch from base 172 to 244 matches the Rfam family "tRNA". The record is from RNAcentral. Lineage: Bacteria; Pseudomonadati; Pseudomonadota; Gammaproteobacteria; Enterobacterales; Pectobacteriaceae.
UAGGGGGCCAGGGGUUGGACCCUCCUUACCAAAAGCCUGAUGUAGGUAAUGUGCAGUGUCCACAACAGAUUGUCUGAUGAAAAAUAAUGAGCAAGCGCACCUGUUGAUGUAAUGAGUCCUGGACUCAUGCUGAUGCGGAACGAUUAAGCCUGAGGUUUAGUCGGAUUUCGUGUCCCCAUCGUCUAGAGGCCUAGGACACUGCCCUUUCACGGCUGUAACAGGGGUUCGAAUCCCCUUGGGGACGCCAUACCGAUAAUGAGUGAAAGACAUUAUCACCGAAUAUCUUAAAGAUGACUUUACCGAGUCGUGUUUAAGAUAUUGCUCUUUAACAAUCUGGAACAAGCUGAAAUUUGAAACGAUGCGGCUAAACAUAUCUCUCCGUGCAGUACUGAGAUGUGAUUUGGCUGUAUCAGAGUCUCUCAAAUAAUCGCAGCGCGAAAUGGACUUGGACUCCUUCAGAUUGUGAGGUUAAGCGACGAAAAGCACCCAGUGGAUGCCUUGGCAUGCCUUGGCACCU